AAGCAACAAAUUUCCUCAGCUGACCUUGUGGCAUGGGCUAACUCUGCAUUGAGCUGACAGUUUGCUUUCCAGGACCUACAUGACACCUGAGUUUUACAGGACUGUUCCGUAAAAGGUUGCACUAAGGAGAUGCUUUGCAGAAGAUUCUAUCCUUGGGUAACUAUUCCUGCUUGGCACUUCUCCAGCUGCAAGGGUUGGGGGGGUCACAUAAGAGAGUAAGUUAAAUUGCUGAGUUUCCCACCAAGACUGCCAGAGGUGAAAGGAAAGAGGUUCACUUUCCCCACCAGAGGAUAGCUGGGUGUCCACCACCACUAUGCCACCCAAAAAAUA
Melospiza melodia melodia is the source of this 330-nucleotide long non-coding RNA. RefSeq lists it as uncharacterized. The record is from RefSeq and is a predicted model, not a curated record. The transcript is spliced from 3 exons. NCBI's taxonomy places the organism in Eukaryota, Metazoa, Chordata, Aves, Passeriformes, Passerellidae.